RNAcentral lists this ribosomal RNA (301 nucleotides) under uncultured bacterium. RNAcentral describes it as "partial 16S ribosomal RNA". It matches the Rfam family "Bacterial small subunit ribosomal RNA", at positions 509 to 807 of the family's 1533-position model. The record is from RNAcentral.
CAGUAGCCGCGGGAAUACAGAGGGUGCGAGCGUUAAUCGGAUUUACUGGGCGUAAAGCGUGCGUAGGCGGCUUCUUAAGUCGGAUGUGAAAUCCCUGAGCUUAACUUAGGAAUUGCAUUCGAUACUGGGAAGCUAGAGUAUGGGAGAGGAUGGUAGAAUUUCAGGUGUAGCGGUGAAAUGCGUAGAGAUCUGGAGGAAUACCGAUGGCGAAGGCAGCCAUCUGGCCUAAUACUGACGCUGAGGUACGAAAGCAUGGGGAGCAAACAGGAUUAGAUACCCCCGUAGUCCCUGUCUCUUAUAC